This is a non-coding RNA of Vitis vinifera (wine grape), 129 nucleotides long. The record is from RefSeq and is marked provisional. NCBI's taxonomy places the organism in Eukaryota, Viridiplantae, Streptophyta, Magnoliopsida, Vitales, Vitaceae.
AAGAAUUUUGAUGAUCUUCACAAGUUCAUCCAAGCACCAUCUAAAGCUCAAACAGGCCUACGGUUUUCUUCAAAACUAGGCUUAUUCAUGAUGGUGCUUGGACGAAUUUGCUAAGAACAUUAAGUUCUU